RNAcentral lists this ribosomal RNA (504 nucleotides) under uncultured bacterium. Its description in RNAcentral is "partial 16S ribosomal RNA". It matches the Rfam family "Bacterial small subunit ribosomal RNA", at positions 30 to 523 of the family's 1533-position model. The record is from RNAcentral.
AUUGAACGCUGGCGGCAGGCUUAACACAUGCAAGUCGAGCGGGGUGAUGGUGCUUGCACUAUCACUUAGCGGCGGACGGGUGAGUAAUGCUUAGGAAUCUGCCUAUUAGUGGGGGACAACAUCUCGAAAGGGAUGCUAAUACCGCAUACGUCCUACGGGAGAAAGCAGGGGAUCACUUGUGACCUUGCGCUAAUAGAUGAGCCUAAGCCGGAUUAGCUAGUUGGUGGGGUAAAGGCCUACCAAGGCGACGACCUGUAGCGGGUUCUGAGAGGAUGAUCCGCCACACUGGGACUGAGACACGGCCCAGACUCCUACGGGAGGCAGCAGUGGGGAAUAUUGGACAAUGGGGGGAACCCUGAUCCAGCCAUGCCGCGUGUGUGAAGAAGGCCUUAUGGUUGUAAAGCACUUUAAGCGAGGAGGAGGCUCUUUUGGUUAAUACCCAGAAUGAGUGGACGUUACUCGCAGAAUAAGCACCGGCUAACUCUGUGCCAGCAGCCGCGGUAA